Molecule: ribosomal RNA, 849 nt
Filed under: uncultured fungus
Lineage: Eukaryota; Fungi
Description: SSU rRNA
Rfam family: Eukaryotic small subunit ribosomal RNA
Source: RNAcentral
GUGCCAGCAGCCGCGGUAAUUCCAGCUCCAAUAGCGUAUAUUAAAGUUGUUGUGGUUAAAAAGCUCGUAGUUGAACCUUGGGCCUGGCUGGCCGGUCCGCCUCACCGCGUGCACUGGUCCGGCCGGGCCUUUCCCUCUGUGGAACCCCAUACCCUUCACUGGGCGUGGCGGGGAAACAGGACAUUUACUUUGAAAAAAUUAGAGUGCUCCAGGCAGGCCUAUGCUCGAAUACAUUAGCAUGGAAUAAUAAAAUAGGACGCGCGGUUCUAUUUUGUUGGUUUAUAGGACCGCCGUAAUGAUUAAUAGGGACAGUCGGGGGCAUCAGUAUUCAACUGUCAGAGGUGAAAUUCUUGGAUCAGUUGAAGACUAACUACUGCGAAAGCAUUUGCCAAGGAUGUUUUCAUUAAUCAGGAACGAAAGUUAGGGGAUCGAAGACGAUCAGAUACCGUCGUAGUCUUAACCAUAAACUAUGCCGACUAGGGAUCGGACGGUGUUAUUCAUGACCCGUUCGGCACCUUACGAGAAAUCAAAGUGCUUGGGCUCCAGGGGGAGUAUGGUCGCAAGGCUGAAACUUAAAGAAAUUGACGGAAGGGCACCACCAGGGGUGGAGCCUGCGGCUUAAUUUGACUCAACACGGGGAAACUCACCAGGUCCAGACACAAUAAGGAUUGACAGAUUGAGAGCUCUUUCUUGAUUUUGUGGGUGGUGAUGCAUGGCCGUUCUUAGUUGGUGGGGUGACUUGUCUGCUUAAUUGCGAUACGAACGAGACCUUAACCUGCUAAAUAGCCCGCAUUGCUCCGGCAGUGCGCUGGCUUCUUAGAGGACUUUCCGGCUCAAGCCGAAGGAAGU